CCUACGGGAGGCAGCAGUGGGGGAUAUUGCACAAUGGGGGGAACCCUGAUGCAGCGACGCCGCGUGGGUGAAGGAGUGCUUCGGUAUGUAAAGCCCUAUCGGCAGGGAAGAAGCAAGACGGUACCUGACUAAGAAGCCCCGGCUAACUACGUGCCAGCAGCCGCGGUAAUACGUAGGGGGCGAGCGUUAUCCGGAUUCACUGGGUGUAAAGGGAGCGUAGACGGCCAUGCAAGCCAGGGGUGAAAGCCCGGGGCCCAACCCCGGGACUGCCCUUGGAACUGCAUGGCUGGAGUGCGGGAGGGGCAGGCGGAAUUCCUGGUGUAGCGGUGAAAUGCGUAGAUAUCAGGAGGAACACCGGCGGCGAAGGCGGCCUGCUGGACCGCGACUGACGUUGAGGCUCGAAAGCGUGGGGAGCGAACAGGAUUAGAUACCCUAGUAGUC
RNAcentral lists this ribosomal RNA (441 nucleotides) under uncultured bacterium. RNAcentral describes it as "partial 16S ribosomal RNA". It matches the Rfam family "Bacterial small subunit ribosomal RNA", at positions 338 to 795 of the family's 1533-position model. The record is from RNAcentral.